Molecule: ribosomal RNA, 253 nt
Filed under: uncultured bacterium
Lineage: Bacteria
Description: partial 16S ribosomal RNA
Rfam family: Bacterial small subunit ribosomal RNA
Source: RNAcentral
UACGUAGGUGGCAAGCGUUGUCCGGAUUUACUGGGCGUAAAGGGCGUGCAGGCGGUUUGUUUAGUCUAGGGUGAAAGCUCCCGGCUUAACUGGGAGAGGUCCUUGGAUACUGGCAAACUUGAGGGAGGCAGAGGAAAGUGGAAUUCCCGGUGUAGCGGUGAAAUGCGCAGAUAUCAGGAGGAACACCGGUGGCGAAGGCGGGUCUCUGGGCCGAAACUGACGCUGAGGAGCGAAAGCGUGGGGAGCGAACAGG